GGACUCCCCUCCACACAACUUAGCAUCUCCUUCUCCCCAUCAGACCCUCCCUUCUUCCCACUUUCCUUUGCCCGCCACCACGCAGACCCACUUUCCUUUGCCCGCCACCACACAGACCCACUUUCCUUUGCCCGCCACCAUGCAGACCCACUUUCCUAGACCUUACUUCUACUCUUUGGACUCUUCUGACUUUGUUCCUCUUCCUUCCUCUUCCUCUCUACCAAGAUCCCCCUCUUGCUUUCGCCAAAACUGUACUUAUUUUGGUGAAAAACUCCCCUCUCCACACUCCACCUCUCCCUCCAACUAUCAGCUCUGUGUCUCUCCCCCUCUUACCUGCUCCUUUCUUUCCCAGCUACAAAAUUCCUCUUCUCAUUCCUGUCAGUCCCCUUCCCGCCUCCAGAACUUUCAAAGCUCCAAGACCACUUCCCCUGGCCCCAGCUCACCACCUCAAGGGAUCCAGAGUAAGAAGCAAGCACGGGAGUGCCCUCAGUCCAGAAGCACCAGGUCCUCUAGGCCGGUAAGGGGAUGUGUGCCAAGUAAGGUGAACCCUGCAGAAUUCAAGGACCCAGGGGCCCUCACCCAAGUCCUGGUGGACCAUGUGGGGCGCCGCAGAAUUGCACGAGACCUGCAGAUCCAGCUUCUGCAGCGCCUGUGGCUUGGCACACCCGGCCCAGCCCCAGUCGUGGAGUACCCCAUAUGCCUGGUGUGUCUCCAGCUCCGCACCCCAUCUUGCCCCACCUCCAAGUACAAGACUAUACCCCAACUGCUUGCCUUCCCUAAACUAAUGCCCUGUGCCCAGUGCCAGGAACCUGGGCCUCUCCGAAUAGGCAUUGGCUUCGGGCUCCGCCUGACUCGGGGCCAGGCCAAGGCUUUGCAUCUGCUGCCCCCAAAAAAACCGAAGGAAGUAAAGUCUAGGAAAAGGCCUCCAGAGUCAAAACCCGGCAACCCAGGGACCAAUUCAAAUCACCCACACACUCUUCCAGCCUCUGGUCUGUAGACCUUCAAUCACUAAAACCCAGCCAGUAUUCCAGGUCUCUACUUCAGGAGCCAAGACUGUGUCCUCAAAGCCCAUGCCUUCUGUCUCAAAGAGGCCUGUGGCUCUAGGGUCUAUUCUCCGAAAAUUGACAUCUUAAUUCCAGAGCAGCAGAGACCCUCUGGAACACCACCUCAAACUCCACCCUCCCUACCAUAACUUCUCAGACCUUGGAGGACUGGAAGCUAAGUGUGUCUCCUGCACUGAGCCCUAGGAAGCCCUUGUGGAGUCUGCUCUCCCCUAGUUGAAAAGACCAGAGGCACCCAAGUCCUCAUUCAGCCUUUAGUGUAUCCAAUAAAACCUCUCUCUGAGAA
Molecule: RNA transcript, 1347 nt
Organism: Mus musculus (house mouse)
Lineage: Eukaryota; Metazoa; Chordata; Mammalia; Rodentia; Muridae
Gene name: cDNA sequence BC106175
Exons: 1
Source: RefSeq, marked validated